AUUGAACGCUGGCGGCAGGCCUAACACAUGCAAGUCGAGCGGAGCGGCGGACGGGUGAGUAAUGCCUAGGAAUCUGCCUGGUAGUGGGGGAUAACGUCCGGAAACGGGCGCUAAUACCGAAUAAUAUCACAUUAUCCUCGGUCGGAUGAGCUAGUUGGUGGGGUAAAGGCCUACAACGGCGACGAUCCGUAACUGGUCUGAGAGGAUGAUCAGUCACACUGGAACUGAGACACGGUCCAGACUACGACGGGAGGCAGCAGUGGGGAAUAUUGGACAAUGGGCGAAAGCCUGAUCCAGCCAUGCCGCGUGUGUGAAGAAGGUCGUCGGAUUGUAAAGCACUUUAAGUUGGGAGGCGUUACCAACAGAAUAAGCACCGGCUAACUUCGUGCCAGCAGCCGCGGUAAUUC
Molecule: ribosomal RNA, 407 nt
Filed under: uncultured bacterium
Lineage: Bacteria
Description: partial 16S ribosomal RNA
Rfam family: Bacterial small subunit ribosomal RNA
Source: RNAcentral